AAUGAACGUUGGCGGCAUGGAUUAGGCAUGCAAGUCGUGCGACAAGCCUUUUAUAGCUUGCUAUUGAAGGUGGAGGAGCGGCGAAAGGGAGAGUAACGGGUGGAUUAUCUACCCUCAGGUCCGGAAUAGCUGCGGGAAACUGCAAGUAAUGCCGGAUAACAUCUACGGAUCAAAGGUGUGAUUCCGCCUGAGGAUGAGUCCGCCUCCUAUUAGCUUGUUGGUGGGGUAAAGGCCUACCAAGGCAACGAUGGGUACCGGGUGUGAGAGCAUGGCCCGGCUCACUGGGACUGAGACACUGCCCAGACACCUACGGGUGGCUGCAGUCGAGAAUCUUCGGCAAUGGGCGCAAGCCUGACCGAGCGAUGCCGCGUGCGGGAUGAAGGCCUUCGGGUUGUAAACCGCUGUCAGUAGGGAGGAAAUGCUAUGGGGUACUCUCCAUAGUUUGACCUAUCUUCAGAGGAAGGACGGGCUAAG
Molecule: ribosomal RNA, 474 nt
Filed under: uncultured bacterium
Lineage: Bacteria
Description: bacterial SSU rRNA
Rfam family: Bacterial small subunit ribosomal RNA
Source: RNAcentral